GAUGAAGAACGCAGCAAAAUGCGAUAAGUAGUGUGAAUUGCAGAAUUCAGUGAAUCAUCGAAUCUUUGAACGCACAUUGCGCCCCCUGGUAUUCCGGGGGGCAUGCCUGUUCGAGCGUCAUUUCACCACUCAAGCCUCGCUUGGUAUUGGGCAACGCGGUCCGCCGCGUGCCUCAAAUCGACCGGCUGGGUCUUCUGUCCCCUAAGCGUUGUGGAAACUAUUCGCUAAAGGGUGUUCGGGAGGCUACGCCGUAAAACAACCCCAUUUCUAAGGUUGACCUCGGAUCAGGUAGGGAUACCCGCUGAACUUAAGCAUAUCAAUAAGCGGAGGA
RNAcentral lists this unclassified non-coding RNA (331 nucleotides) under soil metagenome. RNAcentral describes it as "partial contains 5.8S ribosomal RNA, internal transcribed spacer 2, and large subunit ribosomal RNA". The stretch from base 1 to 120 matches the Rfam family "5.8S ribosomal RNA", at positions 35 to 154 of the family's 154-position model. The record is from RNAcentral.